This is an RNA transcript of Triticum aestivum (bread wheat), 4393 nucleotides long. RefSeq lists it as uncharacterized. The transcript has 11 exons. NCBI's taxonomy places the organism in Eukaryota, Viridiplantae, Streptophyta, Magnoliopsida, Poales, Poaceae. The record is from RefSeq and is a predicted model, not a curated record.
AAAAACUCGCGCCUGAAAAUAAUCCCGUGCGUUGCGAACGAGCGAGCGAAGCCUUUGCCCUUGAGCGACGCCACACCAGACCCUUCGCCCUCGCAGCCGCCGCCGAUCCCCUCCCUCAAACGCCGCCGCCCGUCGCUGCCGCCCCCGCCACCUCCCGUCGCGGGCAGGCGGGAGGAGCCCUGCCCGGCCAUGGCGACACCGCCGGCGGCCUCCUCCUCCCCCUCACCUUCUCUCCCUCUCCCAAGGGAUGGAAGGGAUCUGAUUGGAGUGGUGGAUCUGCGCCCUUGCCGUCUCUUCUUUUCUUCACCGAUUCCAGGAGGAGAUCGAAGUGGGAGGUAGACGAGCAGGAGCGCCGCGUCCGCGACAGCGAUGAGCGACGACCCAGGUUCUCCUCUCCCAUGGCAGGGGUCGGCGAGUAGCAACAGAUGCGGGACACCAACUGGUGGCGCAACGGACAGCGAGAGGCGGGACACCAACUAGGCGCGCCUCUCGCGGCCGACUUCCACGGCGGCGACGUCGUUUACCUUGGCGCCUGCUUCUUUCCGACUCAGCGAUCCCCGCGGGCACCGAUGGACAGCGACGGGCAGCACGUGCGGCCGCGGAGCCGCGCGCUCCUGACCGACGACGAGGAUGACGGGACGUACGCCAACGACGUGUACAGCGGCAACCUCGCCGCCACGGGCGGGUCUCGUGCUGGCCGGAUCUUGGGGCGGUAGCAGUACUUGGUGCAGCGCCGCCGCGGCGACUACGUCGUCGUCCUCAUCCGCACAGGGAAGCUGGACUGGGAGGUUUGCUGCUUCCGGUCGGCAGACGAUGGCUAUGACGCUAUGCCCAGCACAAGUGCUAACGCCAUCACGGCCGGCACCACUGGCACCAGCAGCCGUUCGGUGUGCUCUCCGGGAUGCUGCAGUGGAAGGGUCGAGCAGGAGCUAUGGAUGCCAGCAAACAAGCCUGUGCAGACGGCAUUGCAUCAAUCAAAUCGGAUGGAGAACAUCACACAACAGCCUUUCUCCAGGACAUAAAGAAAAUGGUGGCACUUUGGGUUUUGAAGACGCCGCCUCGCGUAGGACUACGAACAUGGGACGCUCGUUCGAGUUUUUCUUAACUCGUCAGGAUUCUCAUGCUGCAAAUUUAGUAACGGGGCAAAUUUUUGGGUGUCCUGAUGUGUUUGCGGAUUGAUGAAAAUUUGGCGAGGGAGAUCAUAAACCAUCGCUCGCUGCAGCACAUCAAUUGUUGAAUUAGUUUGAAGGAGCUGUCAAUUGUUGAAUUCACUUGAAGGAGAUGGAGCUCGUUUGGCUGAAUUUGCUACUGAGUUGCCACAUUUUGAGGGCCUACAAUUGAAGAAUACAACACUUGAGAUAACAAUUGAAGAAUACUAGAGUAAUAAUAACUACUGCAAGAGUGAUGUAUUUUCUUUUUGUUGGAGAUUUUCUGCAUCUUUUAUGGAUGGUAACAUUUGAGAUAACAAUUUGAUGUGCUAACCAUCAAGAUCAACUUCGACAUGUUUGGUCUCUAAAAGUUACUAUUGACCAUCAUUGGUGCAUCCUAUAAGGUAUAGUCAGUACUAUGAGUAACUUACCAGACAUUGACUGUAGAAGUUGCUAUCCAACUCUUGUGAAAUCUAACCAUGUUAUUCAUUUACGAUACCUAUACGUAUGUGGUACACAAUCUGAAAUAGUAGAAGGGGAAAAUAAAGCAUUAAUGUGGAGUAUGUUCCAAUAGAAAUCUUCACGAACACCUUGAAGGUAAGCAUCAUAUGAUCCUUCACGUCCAUUCAAUCUAUGUAUGAUAGGUCAUAGGUGCAAUCGUCUUUUCAAAUUCUAUGUUACUGAGUUCAGAUGUAUGUAGGUCUGAGUGCAAUUUUUCUUUAGUUCUUUGUGAGCUUAAAAAUGCAACUGAUGUGGCCCAUGCAACUGAGAUUAAAAACAUGGAGAACAAUCAUAAAAGAUCUCGCUGAAAAUGCCCUCGUUCCGCACUUCGUGUGGACAGGCAGCGCCCUUUACCUUCGAAGUCUCGAAAAAUGGUCUGGGUGAUGCGGGUGCCUCAAUUCUUGAUGCCAUGUUCUGUAAGAGGCCAAGGUACUAUAUUUUGUCCCUGAUGCAUAACCUGCAUUGAUUUUUUGUAAACUAUCCUUUUAGAGGCAAUGAUGAAAAUGAUUUUUGUGCAUGAAACAACAAACCAGUUCAUUUUUUUAUGCAGAGAUCAAAUUGAUUUUUGUGCAUAAAAUUCUCUUUGUGAUACAAGGUCUUCUAAUCAGUUUCUGCACUAUGCUUGAGGUACUAGAAAAGCAUAUGGGCAUCAAUUCGACAGGGUUUUGCAUUAUGUUUCAUGCAUAGACAUAUGUGCGCAGACUCGAUUCUUGUAGGUCCUGAAUUACGUGCAACUUUAUGUUAUGGGUUAUUUGAGUCAAGAUCGAUGAUUUGAACUUGUUAUCAUUCCAAGCAGCUCAGCUCACUGAAAUCUGAAAUCCAAAUAUGAGCUCAAUGAAUAUUGAUUGCCUCUAAAAGAAAUGCUUAGGUUUUGAUGUUUUUAUUCAGUUUUAUUUAGGGUUGAGUAGUUCAAAUUUAUUUUUUCAGGAAUUUUUGUAGGGACCGUGUGUGUGGCACUUAAUAUUUGUCUUUGUUUCUUGUUUGUGCACUUAAUAUUGGUCUAAUUUUUGUUGCAUAGGUUGUAUUUGGGUGUCCACGCGCUACAGGGAAUUACUGUGCGGAGUAGUAAGAAUUGAUUUAAACGUAGAGCCUAGACUCGCACUCCAUGAGCAUCCAUGGCCGGCGAGACAGGACCCUCGACCCUCGGCCUCUGUUGAGAAGGAUCGUUCCACUGUGUCUGAUUUGUAGUACAGAGCAAUCUCAUUCCUCUGAAGUUCCUAUUGGGCAAAAUGGGCAAGAUAUGUUUGGUCAGUGGUGCUUUGUUUUUUAGGCUAUGGCUAUGAUAACUUGAUGACACCCCUUUGUAGUACGGAGCAAUCUCAUGCAUUUGUCCUCCAUCUUCAGGAACAUUUAUUAGUGUACAAUGGCCAAGCAAUUGUUUAAAAAAAUAAGAAACCUGGAAUUGAAUUGCUAAAACAUGGAAUUAUUCUGCUUAUUUGUAGGUUAAUGUAUGACUAUCACGUUCCCCACCAAGUGAAAUGUGCUAUUUCACCACAAACAUUGACGAAGUUAAGUUCAGUGCAGGCAAAAUGGAUAAGUCUGUAACUGGAACUCUGGAUAGUUGAUCCUCUGAAUGGCAAAAAAUUUAUCAAAGUUGCUGAGGUUCAGGGGUCUGAAAUUAAGCCAUUUGUGGACAGUUUAUCUAAAUGCCCCAAACCCACUUAGAGCUCCAGAGAGGUCUUGUUUUCUUGUACUAUGGAUUUAAGGUGAUUCUCAAGAGGAACAAGUCGCCAUGGACCGAUGAGAUCGAGAGACGGCUCCGCGGUUGCGUGGAGUGGUGGCUGAGAGGAGAGGCAACAACAACUCGUUGUCCGUGACGGCCCGAGCGUUUGCGAGAGGGGAUGGAGCGGGGGUUGCAUCGUCACGGCCAGUUGCCAGAGUGGAUGGAGUGGUGGCCGCACGGACGCGCUCCUGGAGGUGCCGGUAUGCACCCUGAUUUUGAGCCUGGGAGGUUCCUUGCUCUGCCCUAUCCUCAAGGGUGUUCAUCUACUUUGGUAUCGUGCUCUGGAGUCAGGACGAUGCACUAAUGCAGCUAAUCAUGGAGUGUUUCGAUUGCCUGCUUACGGAUUAGCAAUGAGCACAAGUCUGCAACCUUGAAGGAAAACCCGUUGCAACUGAUGACAUAAUAUUACGUCGCAACAAGAAUGUAUAGAGCUGCAGAGCUCUGUGGAUCCUUCUCUUCACAAAAGGAAACAAGAGGUAAUGUAAACAAUAGAUUCUCUUGUGAAAUUGCGACUCAGCCUUGGGGUGUGGAUGGCGAGAAGCGGAGGCGUGUGCCUAGAGUAGCGGACCAUGAUGGAUUGAUGAGCUGAUGUCACGUGACGUACUCACGUGGCGGCUGGUUAGGCUCCGGCGGCUGGAGCCAUCAUCGACCAUGAUGCCGCGCUAGGAGCACAAGGGCUAAGACGAGGACAUGUUGGUGCCGAUGAAAUAAGGUGCUGCCGGUUGAUGGGGGCCUAACCAUGAGUCUAACUGAAAGUGAACGGGAGCGAUGUGCAGAAAAAAUCUUAGCACAUAGGCUGAAUUUGUAUAGUACUUCGAAUUUAUUAGGCAGUCCCCCCUCCAUUUGUAUAUCACUUCCGAAUACAAGUUCAGGUUAUUAGGCAGUACUAUUGAAUUUAAGGAUUGAUACUUGAAGAUUUUAAAAGGUUACUAAAUUUUGUACCAAGUCUACUGUUAUGUAUGGGAAGAACAUGCGCUAAAAUAUUGAUAAUGCAAAUGAAAGUGAUCAUUUGAUUAUUAAA